This 75-nucleotide transfer RNA is filed under the name Vibrio phage 424E50-1. Its description in RNAcentral is "tRNA-Ile". Lineage: Duplodnaviria; Heunggongvirae; Uroviricota; Caudoviricetes. The record is from RNAcentral.
AGCCCUUUAGCUAACUGGCGAUAGCUGAGUCCUCAUAAGACUUAGGGGAGGGAUCGUAACCCUCAAGGGCUACCA